Molecule: ribosomal RNA, 253 nt
Filed under: uncultured bacterium
Lineage: Bacteria
Description: partial 16S ribosomal RNA
Rfam family: Bacterial small subunit ribosomal RNA
Source: RNAcentral
UACAGAGGCCACGAGCGUUAGGCGGAAUCACUGGGCUUAAAGCGUGUGUAGGUGGAUGGGUAAGUACUUUGUGAAAUCCCACGGCUCAACCGUGGAACUGCUUGGUAUACUGCCUGUCUUGAGGCACUCAGGGGCGAGCGGAACAGAUGGUGGAGCGGUGAAAUGCGUAGAUAUCAUCUGGAACGCCAAUGGUGAAGACAGCUCGCUGGGGGUGUACUGACACUGAGACACGAAAGCCAGGGGAGCAAACGGG